UAGGGCCCCGACGAUAGGGCCCCGACGACAGGGCUCUAUCGUGACGAUAGGAAUGACGACACACUAUCACCAAAUUCCGAUAGGAUCCUGUCGCCACGAUAGAAAUCUCAACCGUCGCGAUAGGAGCCUAUAGCCUCGCCUAUCGUCAGCCUAUCGUCAACGUCAAUCGUCAGCUCUAUCGUCAAUGUGUAUCGGCGUUUCUCUAGGGUUACCGCGCGCUUCUCCGCAACAACAGUUUAUCUGAGGCGGAGAAGGUGGUGAAGCGCAUGGCGGCCGUGUUCGGCCGUAAAAAGCAAUCUGACAGUGUUGAAAGAGCUGUAAAAAGAAUUAGAGGCCAUUCAAGAGCAGCACGUCGAACGCACGAUUGGUGGAGACCCUGCUUCUCGGGUGGACGAGCCCGACCCGCUGCCUGAGGAAAUGCAAAUCACACCCGAGAACCGGCCAGGAGAGAAUGAAAUUCAUUCGGGCCCACUUCCAGGGAAGUCCCUGUAUGCCUCAAGCCCAUAUUACCGCCAUUUGCACCCCAUCGAGGAGGCAGCACGGGACGGGUCGGAUGCUACAGUCUCUAGAAGCUAGUACCACAUUAACAAGUUUGUCGAGUACCGCGAGGCCCAGCAUCUGGCCUACCUACCGAUGCUAAAUCGCACGUUUGUGGAGGAUGAGGCCAGCCCGGUGACCAAUCUCCUUACAAACAAUUAUGUAGAGAAAUGGGUUGCAACGAUGAAAAAGGACGUCUUCCAGAAGGAGUGCAACUUGCGGAGGGGAGAAGUUUUGCGGAAACUCCGCAUCGCCGUCGAUGGGCUUAUUGAGCGCUACAAGUUCCCCCCUGCAAGAAGGCGACCGGGUAUACGAGCGCCACCCAAGGUGCAACGGAAGACCCCAUCAGCGUCAAGGGGCGGCGACCGCGGUGGCCGGGGCAGCGGGGGAGAGGCAGAGGUAGAGGAAGAGGAAACACCACCCAUACUCAGGAUGAAUUCCUUGCACCUGUCGAUGAUCCCUCUCAGGAGUCGGACCAGUGGGGUGGUUUCAUCGAGCAUCCCACCAACACAGUGAAACAACCUGAUACAUCUCCGCAUGUCUACACUUGGACAAUAAAGAAGGUGAACCCCGAGCCCCGUACCGUGGACCCUCCUCCAGUGAUGACCAUACAAGAUGAAACAGGUAGUCUAUCAGUUGACAUGGAAUGUCCUUCAGUAACUCCUCUAGCAGUGGUCACCAUUGAAGAUGAAAGUAUGUUUUCAGUUGUAUUUUGGCAGGCAGCCUUCCUUCCAAAAUCUAGGCUUGUUUGAACUAAUUUUAAAGGGGAAAAACAUUUCUAGACUAAAAAUUU
This is a long non-coding RNA of Frankliniella occidentalis (western flower thrips), 1330 nucleotides long. RefSeq lists it as uncharacterized. The transcript is spliced from 5 exons. The record is from RefSeq and is a predicted model, not a curated record. Lineage: Eukaryota; Metazoa; Arthropoda; Insecta; Thysanoptera; Thripidae.